AGAGUGAUGCGGACCCUCCUGCUGCUGCUGUGGCUGGCGACGCGCGGAAGCGCGCUCUACUUUCACAUCGGAGAGACGGAGAAGAAGUGCUUUAUUGAGGAGAUCCCGGACGAGACCAUGGUCAUAGGAAACUACCGGACGCAGCUGUAUGACAAGCAGCGGGAGGAGUACCAGCCGGCCACCCCGGGGCUUGGCAUGUUUGUGGAGGUGAAGGACCCAGAGGACAAGGUCAUCCUGGCCCGGCAGUAUGGCUCUGAGGGCAGGUUCACUUUCACCUCCCAUACCCCUGGCGAGCACCAGAUCUGUCUUCACUCCAAUUCCACCAAGUUCUCCCUCUUUGCUGGAGGCAUGCUGGUAAGUGGGCCCAUGUGAGACUUGCAGGUUUCAGCCUUCAUCCUUUGGUGAGGACUGGGGGACCGGUGGUGCUGUGGAUGAGAGGAUUAUGUCAGAUUUUGUGUCUCCUAAGAACACUGGGUUUCCAGUGGAUAUCCAGGACACAGUGACUGAGCUCUUUGUAUAUGCCUCACUCAGAGCACCAGCCCAGGCUUAAUACUUGCUUGUGUGCCCAGAGUCCCAUGGGGCUAAGACACUGAAGAGGGCCCAGUCUCUUGGCUAAAUGAACAGAUGAAGGAAAGUCGGGGAUGAGCUGUCAGUCUCUGGCAGGAAGAUGGAGCAGGGCUACCAGAUUUCCCUUAUCUCCUUUGUCUGUCCUCAGAGAGUUCACCUGGACAUCCAGGUAGGUGAACAUGCCAACGACUAUGCAGAAAUUGCUGCUAAAGACAAGUUGAGUGAGUUGCAGCUACGAGUGCGACAGCUGGUGGAACAAGUGGAGCAGAUCCAGAAAGAGCAGAACUACCAGCGGUGGCGAGAGGAGCGCUUCCGGCAGACCAGUGAGAGCACCAACCAGCGGGUGCUAUGGUGGUCCAUUCUGCAGACCCUCAUCCUCGUGGCCAUUGGUGUCUGGCAGAUGCGGCACCUCAAGAGCUUCUUUGAAGCCAAGAAGCUUGUGUAGCUGU
This 1016-nucleotide small RNA is filed under the name Pongo abelii (Sumatran orangutan). RNAcentral describes it as "retained intron". The record is from RNAcentral. Lineage: Eukaryota; Metazoa; Chordata; Mammalia; Primates; Hominidae.